RNAcentral lists this long non-coding RNA (295 nucleotides) under Ananas comosus (pineapple). RNAcentral describes it as "long non-coding RNA (ACOM_LNC036906)". Lineage: Eukaryota; Viridiplantae; Streptophyta; Magnoliopsida; Poales; Bromeliaceae. The record is from RNAcentral.
GUGUGUUUUGGCCGACAACGGAGGUUCAAAAGGGGAAGGAGGGGAUACUGCAGUAGGCUAAGGGGAAGGUGGAUGAUCAGAGGUGGAAGGUAGCAGAUCAAUAGGGGGAGGUGAAGCAGCAGCAGGCCUGCUGGUGUGUCGUCUGGUAUAGACUCGGAGUUCAGUUUGACCAGCAGGAGUGGCAUCAUUCUCAUUACUAACCUGUUUGAGUAAUAUCAAGUAAAUUUUCAUUGCCAAUAAAAAUUUUUUCGUGCCCACUAUAAGGUUUAGAGGAGGAGAGAAUAUCAUAAUGUGC